GUUCUUCACUUAGCCGUCUGGGUAAAUAAAUAGGUUAAAUAGAUAGAUAGAUAGAUUGUUAAAAUACUGUAUAUAUAUAUAUAUAAUAUGACAUUUGUAAUGUCUUUACUGUUUUGAAACCUCUGUAUGUGUAAUGUUUACUGUUAAUUUUUGUUGUUUUUCACUUUAUAUUUUCACUUUGUAUGUUGUCUACCUCACUUGCUUUGGCAAUGUUAACACAUGUUUCCCAUGCCAAUAAAGCCCUUGAAUUGAAUUGAAUAGAUAGAUAGAUAGAUAGAUAGAUAGAUAGAUAGAUAGAUAGAUAGAUAGAUAGAUAGAUAGAUAGAUAGAUAGAUAGAUAGAUAGAUAGAUAGAUAGAUAGAUAGAUAGAUAGAUAAAUAGAUAGAUAAAUAGAUAGAUAAAUAGAUAGAUAAAUAGAUAGAUAAACUGAGGUAAAUGAGAAAACAAACGUCCUCUUGAUUGUGAUAUAACGUUGUGGUCUGAGAUGCAGCUAGCAGCAUAAAGAGGAAAAUAGUUCCUUCCUGUAUGCUUUAUCUGUUUAGGCCCUGUCCUAACGGGGACCCUUUUGGCCGUAACACAGGGCUAUUACACUGAUAAAUACCAAGGGGGAGGAGGAAGAUCCCCUGCAGAGGUUUUCACACCAACCAGACCAGUCAUGGGACACGUGCAAAUAUCUCCUGUCCUCUUUUCUUCUCUUCUGUCCUCUCAUCUUGCCUUUUCUGUCCAUCUAUCCCCUCUGUCCUCUCAUCUUGGCUUUUCUCUCCAUCUAUCCCCUCUGUCCUCUCAUCUUGCCUUUUCUCUCCAUCUAUCCUCUCAUCUUGCCUUUUCUCAAGUCUAUCCCCUCUGUCCUCUCAUAUUGGCUUUUCUCUCCAUCUAUCCCCUCUGUCCUCUCAUCUUGCCUUUUCUCUCCAUCUAUCCACUCUGUCCUCUCAUCUUGGCUUUUCUCUCCAUCUAUCCACUCUGUCCUCUCGUCUCUUUUCUUCUGUCAAUCUCAAUCCCUUUCCAUUUCUCUUAUAGUAAUAAUGUCCCAUCUUGUCCCAUAAAGUCAGGAGAUCGUUCUUGUUAAGUUGCAGGGUCAGUAAAUCCUCCUGUCCCGGAUGACGCUCCACAUGCAAGUACACAUAUUUUUUUCCUGACUGUGUGACCAGAACAGGAAAACAUCUAUGCCCUUAAGCGUAGAUGUUGAAUUAUAUUGUGACACAUUUAUUUUGGCUCUCCUUGUUAAUAAAGGAUAAAAAAAAAGGUGAUUUGCUGUUGAGCUCAAUCUGGAUUUGACAAACCCUUAACACUAGUCUAAUGUUGUCUAAUGGUCUUAAUCUGACCACAUUAGCAGAUACAUUUUUAUAACCUAUUUAAGAGUAAUUACUGAGAUUAACAAGUGUUACGCAUUAUUUCAUUUUAGCGGUUUGCGCCCAUUUUCUCAAAAGACACACAGAAUGAAAGAAAUAAAAAAAAAACUUUUCAAAAACAAGACCACUCUAAAGGACUUGGCUCUUUUGAAAUAUGUCUACAAAUCUCAUCAACUUCGAAAAUAAAUGCAUUAUUUUUCAAGUAACUUCCUUCACCUCUCUGUAGGCGAUUUUCCGUAUGAAAAUAAAACAUUUACUGGGUCAUCUUUCACUUUUCAAAGACUCGCCUUCAGAAUCCUGUGGUAGGCUACUAUAAUGAUUUCGUUUUGCUGUGGGUGUCCUGACAUAAGCACAUUUGGAAACGAUAUUGGCACCUGAAGUAUUUCAGGUUACAAGAAACAGCUGUUCUCAAGCGCCACCACGACCCUCCAUGUAAUUCUGUAACGCCGACAUAGAGACACACACAGGCAGGCCAGACCGAUGGCUUUUGAGUGUGUGUGGCUGUGGCACAGGCCGAAUAUAGAGGAUGGAAACCUCAACUACCACAUAUUAUGUUUGGGUGGUGGUGGGAGACGUGCAAUUCCAAAAUUCUCGACAGUGAUUUCUUUUUGUUGUUGCUUUACGCUCGUGCCAAUGCGUCAUCAGCACGAGAAGCAACAUCUCCCUAAUGUAUAGACCAACUCCAAGACAUGCAUUGAUUCUUAAAAGGCUAUUUUCAACAAUCAAAACUUUAAGAUAUAAUUUACAAGUUCAGAAAAGAAGAGAAGGCAAGUUGGGAAUGUCCAAAGUUUUUUUUUUUAAACGAGAGGCAUUCUUCAAUAGUCUAAAUAAGGUAUUGAAAUGCACAGUGCACUGAAGAUAUUUCAGAUGUUCUCCACUGAAGGCAAUAGCCUAUUAUCAAUCAAUUUAAAUAACGAAAGCCAGUGAAUUUGGCUAACAUUGAUAAUUUUGUUUACUCAAUGUAAACACUGCACGCACCGCCAUCGUCUAUUAGAUUGAACAUCCCAUUUCGACCAUCAUCCCCCAAGUGACACCAAUCUGACAAUACCUUUAAUAUACUCAACAUAACAUAUUACAUCACUGCUAAGUCCAAAUUGAACUUGCAUAUAAACAAACACACGUUAACCACUAUUAGGCCUAAAUUCAAAAAUCUCUUCUAUCAACGAUUUUAGCUUACUAGGAAUUAGAAACAGAAACUGAAUAGGAUAAAGCAAAGCAACUGUACCUUUUAUGAAAAGUUGAAGAAGUCUGCAUCAGUUUGUUGAUCUUGAUCCUCAGGGCUUUGGGACUUUUGGAAGCUCGGUGGCUGAAAACGAGACCGUCCCGCUGGGGGUUCCAGAAUGUCCAAUCUCUCUCUCUCUGCGUUCUUCUGGCACACAGAUGGGGCAGCCGGAAUUAACCUGUAUCUUCUAUAUUCUAUUCCACCUCCCGUGUUCAAACCACGUCUUUAUCCACUUUUUUUAGGAGCUUCUUUCCAUAGUCUUUCCAUAGUUACUUUAUUCACAAAUUUCACGAAAUCAGUGUGCAGGACAACAUUGAACGAACCCCAUUUUAUGUAACCAAAGUCCCGUAAACGCGAAGUUGGUUGCUCAGUCAAUGGGGGAACGCUAGACCUCUCUUCUCUUCCCCCCC
This 2981-nucleotide long non-coding RNA is filed under the name Oncorhynchus mykiss (rainbow trout). RNAcentral's name for it is "lncRNA (ENSOMYG00000074710.1)". Lineage: Eukaryota; Metazoa; Chordata; Actinopteri; Salmoniformes; Salmonidae. The record is from RNAcentral.